GCCCGGGUACUCCAACUGGUCGAGAGAGCGGCCUUAAAAGCCGUGGCCCGCAAGGGCGUGCGGGUUCGAAUCCCGCUCCGGGCA
RNAcentral lists this transfer RNA (84 nucleotides) under soil metagenome. It matches the Rfam family "tRNA". Rfam says of the family: Transfer RNA (tRNA) molecules are approximately 80 nucleotides in length. Their secondary structure includes four short double-helical elements and three loops (D, anti-codon, and T loops). The record is from RNAcentral. RNAcentral also lists the same sequence under 1 other name.